Molecule: long non-coding RNA, 1347 nt
Organism: Acinonyx jubatus (cheetah)
Lineage: Eukaryota; Metazoa; Chordata; Mammalia; Carnivora; Felidae
Exons: 2
Source: RefSeq, a predicted model, not a curated record
AAAGGAAAGAAAAAUCUUGAAAAAGCUGAGCUUCCAAUCUCCUCCCACUGGUUUCUGUGAAGGAUGACUUCAGUCCCUUUCUUAACUAAUUCUGUCACUGUAAAAUCCUACAGUCAUUCUUCCACACAUAAAGGACAAAUAAACUCAAGAGGAGGAUCCAGAUGCUUUCAGUUUUAACUAUUCACCAAUGGUGGAAAAGGCAGAAUGCCUAAGCUAUGUCUUGGUGGCCAAUAGGAUGGCUGUGUAUCUCCCACAUGACUCGCUGCCUCUGUCUUUCACAUGGGCUGUAAUUUAGUUCAAUUCAGAACUGCAGAUAGUACAGCUUUCACAGGAGCAAGGAUGCCUGAGCACAAGUGGCUGAGUUCUGAGUGACUUUAUGAAGCACUUUCCUACCUCCCUCCGUCAUGAAAACGGGGAUUCUGCACCUGCAUCAGGGACAGUCUGGCAAAAGCCUCUGCUAUGCCUCCGGGGACAAGGAACUAGCACAAAUAACCAUUUUGAAAUUGGAUCUUGGCAAAAUUAGCAACAAAUCCAUAAAGGAAACUGAAAGCAAUUGGAUCUCCAUCUUCAGUGGAGUCCCACAAAAGUUGGAGAAAUACGUUGUCUCCAAAGAGGAUACAGCUGUACCCUAAAAUUAGGACAUAAUUAAGGUAUGAAAUUUCUUUUAGUUCAUUUCUUUAGUUUGGUUGCAAUGCUUUGUUCUUUCCAUUACAGAUAAUUUUUUCUUUUUUUUUUCCCCCAGUCUCUCUCUCUCUUCCUUUUCUUCCUCUCAUUAGCAAAUGUCUUUUAUAAUUGAUCUUGUUUACUGUCCUUUCAUCAAAUAUAUGCCACAUCACUCAGGCGAGCCAUCUGACAGGGCACCUAAAUACACAUUAAAAAGUACUGGGAGCCAUGCGUCACUUUGUCUCAUCGGGGCAGUUAUAAUAAGCAUCUUGAUGCCACUGAAGGCAAUGCUGUAUUCAGAUAAUAGCCUUCAUUUUUACCCUUUUUAAAUAUAAAAGUAAACCUUGAAGCAUUUGAAGGACCUAACUAAACAACACACAUGUGGAAACAGACCAGGGAGCCUUUGAAAAAAAAAUCUCUAUGUAAAAUCUGUAAAGAAUCUUAGCAGUUUUUCAAAAAGACCUCCAGAUACAUGAUGCCUGUGAAUAAGACACAUGACCACCUUAAUUAUGAGAAUCAUUAUUGUAGGCCCUCUGGGCCAUUUUUGCUCCCAGCAGGAUUUUUCUUUCCUCAUCCAGAGUUUCCGGGGAUGUCUACUAUUCUCUGUGUGUAAAGCACAUUUAAGUGGUCCCACAAAGCUGCACUAAUUAAACACACACACACACACACACACAAACACACACA